CGAGCGAGUCUGCCUUGAAGAUGGGAGUGCUUGCACUCUGUGAAACAAGAUACAGGCUAGCGGCGGACGGGUGAGUAACACGUGGGUAACCUGCCCAAGAGAUCGGGAUAACACCUGGAAACAGAUGCUAAUACCGGAUAACAACAGAUGAUGCCUAUCAACUGUUUAAAAGAUGGUUCUGCUAUCACUCUUGGAUGGACCUGCGGUGCAUUAGCUAGUUGGUAGGGUAACGGCCUACCAAGGCGAUGAUGCAUAGCCGAGUUGAGAGACUGAUCGGCCACAUUGGGACUGAGACACGGCCCAAACUCCUACGGGAGGCAGCAGUAGGGAAUCUUCCACAAUGGACGCAAGUCUGAUGGAGCAACGCCGCGUGAGUGAAGAAGGGCUUCGGCUCGUAAAGCUCUGUUGUUGGUGAAGAAGGACAGGGGUAGUAACUGACCUUUGUUUGACGGUAAUCAAUUAGAAAGUCACGGCUGACUACGUGCCAGCAGCCGCGGUAAUACGUAGGUGGCAAGCGUUGUCCGGAUUUAUUGGGCGUAAAGCGAGUGCAGGCGGCUCGAUAAGUCUGAUGUGAAAGCCUUCGGCUCAACCGGAGAAUUGCAUCAGAAACUGUCGAGCUUGAGUACAGAAGAGGAGAGUGGAACUCCAUGUGUAGCGGUGAAAUGCGUAGAUAUAUGGAAGAACACCGGUGGCGAAGGCGGCUCUCUGGUCUGUUACUGACGCUGAGGCUCGAAAGCAUGGGUAGCGAACAGGAUUAGAUACCCUGGUAGUCCAUGCCGUAAACGAUGAGUGCUAAGUGUUGGGAGGUU
This 809-nucleotide ribosomal RNA is filed under the name uncultured bacterium. Its description in RNAcentral is "bacterial SSU rRNA". It matches the Rfam family "Bacterial small subunit ribosomal RNA", at positions 54 to 832 of the family's 1533-position model. The record is from RNAcentral.